RNAcentral lists this ribosomal RNA (468 nucleotides) under uncultured bacterium. RNAcentral's name for it is "partial 16S ribosomal RNA". It matches the Rfam family "Bacterial small subunit ribosomal RNA", at positions 28 to 507 of the family's 1533-position model. The record is from RNAcentral.
GACGAACGCUGGAGGAGUGCUUCACACAUGCAAGUCGAACGGAAAGGAACAGCUUAUGUGGGGUGCACGAAUGGCGAACGGGUGAGUAACACGUGAGUAACCUGCCCUUGACUUUGGGAUAACUUCAGGAAACUGGGGCUAAUACCGGAUAGGAGCUCCUGCUGCAUGGUGGGGGUUGGAAAGUUUCGGCGGUUGGGGAUGGACUCGCGGCUUAUCAGCUUGUUGGUGGGGUAGUGGCUUACCAAGGCUUUGACGGGUAGCCGGCCUGAGAGGGUGACCGGCCACAUUGGGACUGAGAUACGGCCCAGACUCCUACGGGAGGCAGCAGUGGGGAAUAUUGCACAAUGGGCGGAAGCCUGAUGCAGCAACGCCGCGUGCGGGAUGACGGCCUUCGGGUUGUAAACCGCUUUCGCCUGUGACGAAGCGUGAGUGACGGUAAUGGGUAAAGAAGCACCGGCUAACUACGUG